Molecule: ribosomal RNA, 433 nt
Filed under: uncultured bacterium
Lineage: Bacteria
Description: partial 16S ribosomal RNA
Rfam family: Bacterial small subunit ribosomal RNA
Source: RNAcentral
AACGAACGCUGGCGGCAUGCCUAACACAUGCAAGUCGAACGAGACCUUCGGGUCUAGUGGCGCACGGGUGCGUAACGCGUGGGAACCUGCCCUUAGGUUCGGAAUAACUCCCCGAAAGGGGUGCUAAUACCGGAUAAUGUCUUCGGACCAAAGAUUUAUCGCCUUUGGAUGGGCCCGCGUUGGAUUAGCUAGUUGGUAGGGUAAAAGCCUACCAAGGCGACGAUCCAUAGCUGGUCUGAGAGGAUGAUCAGCCACACUGGGACUGAGACACGGCCCAGACUCCUACGGGAGGCAGCAGUGGGUGAUAUUGGAGCAUGGGCGAAAUCCUGAUCCAGCAAUUCCGGGUGAGUGAUGAAGGGCUUAGGGUUGUAAAGCUCUUUUACCCGGGAUGAUAAUGACAGUACCGGGAGAAUAAGCACCGGCUAACUCCGUG